UACGGAGGAUGCGAGCGUUAUCCGGAUUUAUUGGGUUUAAAGGGUGCGCAGGCGGUCUGUUAAGUCAGCGGUCAAAGCCCGGGGCUCAACCCCGGCCCGCCGUUGAAACUGGCGGCCCCGAGUGGGCGAGAAGUAUGCGGAAUGCGUGGUGUAGCGGUGAAAUGCAUAGAUAUCACGCAGAACUCCGAUUGCGAAGGCAUCUCACGAAUCCGCGAUUGACGCUGAUGCACGAAAGCGUGGGUAUCAAACAGG
RNAcentral lists this ribosomal RNA (252 nucleotides) under uncultured Bacteroidales bacterium. Its description in RNAcentral is "partial 16S ribosomal RNA". It matches the Rfam family "Bacterial small subunit ribosomal RNA", at positions 524 to 776 of the family's 1533-position model. The record is from RNAcentral. Lineage: Bacteria; Pseudomonadati; Bacteroidota; Bacteroidia; Bacteroidales.